CUUUUAGUUGUUGCUCAGUAAUGUUUACUCUGACCAAGGACUUUGUGAGUCUCAUGCUCUGCCAGGGAGGAGGGGAAGCCAAGAGGAAGCAGAGACAGGACACCUGACCCAAACUAGCAAAAGGGGUAUUCCAUACCACAGCACGUCAUUCCCAGUACAGAAACUGGGGGGAGUUACCCGGAAAGGCCAGAUCGCUGCUCAGGUCAGGCUGGGUAUUGGUCAGCAGGUGGUGAGCUGUUGUAUUCUCUUCC
Pezoporus occidentalis (night parrot) is the source of this 251-nucleotide long non-coding RNA. RefSeq lists it as uncharacterized. The record is from RefSeq and is a predicted model, not a curated record. The transcript has 3 exons. NCBI's taxonomy places the organism in Eukaryota, Metazoa, Chordata, Aves, Psittaciformes, Psittacidae.